AUUGGACGCUGGCGGCAUGCCUUACACAUGCCAGUCGAACGGUAACAGGUCUUCGGAUGCUGACGAGUGGCGAACGGGUGAGUAAUACAUCGGAACGUGCCCGAUCGUGGGGGAUAACGCAGCGAAAGCUGUGCUAAUACCGCAUACGAUCUACGGAUGAAAGCGGGGGAUCGCAAGACCUCGCGCGGACGGAGCGGCCGAUGGCAGAUUAGGUAGUUGGUGGGAUAAAAGCUUACCAAGCCGACGAUCUGUAGCUGGUCUGAGAGGACGACCAGCCACACUGGGACUGAGACACGGCCCAGACUCCUACGGGAGGCAGCAGUGGGGAAUUUUGGACAAUGGGCGCAAGCCUGAUCCAGCCAUGUCGCGUGCAGGAUGAAGGCCUUCGGGUUGUAAACUGCUUUUGUACGGAACGAAAAAGCUCUCUCUAAUACAGGGGGUGAAUGACGGUACCGUAAGAAUAAGCACCGGCUAACUACGUG
Molecule: ribosomal RNA, 482 nt
Filed under: uncultured bacterium
Lineage: Bacteria
Description: partial 16S ribosomal RNA
Rfam family: Bacterial small subunit ribosomal RNA
Source: RNAcentral